Molecule: ribosomal RNA, 506 nt
Filed under: uncultured bacterium
Lineage: Bacteria
Description: partial 16S ribosomal RNA
Rfam family: Bacterial small subunit ribosomal RNA
Source: RNAcentral
AUUGAACGCUGGCGGCAGGCCUAACACAUGCAAGUCGAACGGCAGCGGGAAGUAGCUUGCUACUUUGCCGGCGAGUGGCGGACGGGUGAGUAAUGUCUGGGAAACUGCCUGAUGGAGGGGGAUAACUACUGGAAACGGUGACUAAUACCGCAUGACGUCGCAAGACCAAAGAGGGGGACCUGCGGGCCUCUUGCCAUCGGAUGUUCCCAGAUGGGAUUAGCUAGUAGGCGGGGUAAUGGCCCACCUAGGCGACGAUCCCUAGCUGGUCUGAGAGGAUGACCAGCCACACUGGGACUGAGACACGGCCCAGACUCCUACGGGAGGCAGCAGUGGGGAAUAUUGCACAAUGGGCGCAAGCCUGAUGCAGCCAUGCCGCGUGUGUGAAGAAGGCCUUCGGGUUGUAAAGCACUUUCAGCGAGGAGGAAGGGGUUGAACUUAAUACGUUCAAUCAUUGACGUUACUCGCAGAAGAAGCACCGGCUAACACCGUGCCAGCCGCCGCAGUAA